GGAGCAUGCGGAUUAAUUCGAUGCAACGCGAAGAACCUUACCAAGGCUUGACAUGGGCCGGAUCGCCGCAGAGAUGUGGUUUCCCCUUUUGGGGCCGGUUCACAGGUGGUGCAUGGUUGUCGUCAGCUCGUGUCGUGAGAUGUUGGGUUAAGUCCCGCAACGAGCGCAACCCUCGUUCCAUGUUGCCAGCGCGUAAUGGCGGGGACUCAUGGGAGACUGCCGGGGUCAACUCGGAGGAAGGUGGGGACGACGUCAAAUCAUCAUGCCCCUUAUGUCUUGGGCUUCACGCAUGCUACAAUGGCCGGUACAAAGGGUUGCGAUACUGUGAGGUGGAGCUAAUCCCAAAAAGCCGGUCUCAGUUCGGAUUGGGGUCUGCAACUCGACCCCAUGAAGUCGGAGUCGCUAGUAAUCGCAGAUCAGCAACGCUGCGGUGAAUACGUUCCCGGGCCUUGUACACACCGCCCGUCAAGUCACGAAAGUUGGUAACACCCGAAGCCGGUGGCCUAACCCCUUGUGGGAGGGAGCCGUCGAAGGUGGGACUGGCGAUUGGGACUAAUCGUAACAAGUAGCCCCUCC
Molecule: ribosomal RNA, 576 nt
Filed under: Arthrobacter pascens
Lineage: Bacteria; Bacillati; Actinomycetota; Actinomycetes; Micrococcales; Micrococcaceae
Description: bacterial SSU rRNA
Rfam family: Bacterial small subunit ribosomal RNA
Source: RNAcentral